GACGAACGCUGGCGGCGUGCUUAACACAUGCAAGUCGAACGGUAAGGCCCUUCGGGGUACACGAGUGGCGAACGGGUGAGUAACACGUGGGUGAUCUGCCCUGCACUUCGGGAUAAGCCUGGGAAACUGGGUCUAAUACCGGAUAGGACCACUGCCUGCAUGGGUGGUGGUGGAAAGCUUUUGCGGUGUGGGAUGGGCCCGCGGCCUAUCAGCUUGUUGGUGGGGUGAUGGCCUACCAAGGCGACGACGGGUAGCCGGCCUGGGAGGGUGACCGGCCACAGUGGGACUGGGAUACGGCCCAGACUCGUACGGGAGGCAGCAGUGGGGAAUAUUGCACAAUGGGCGCAAGCCUGAUGCAGCGACGCCGCGUGAGGGAUGACGGCCUUCGGGUUGUAAACCUCUUUCAGCACCGACGAAGCGCAAGUGACGGUAGGUGCAGAAGAAGGACCGGCCAACUACGUGCCAGCCGCCGCGGUAA
Molecule: ribosomal RNA, 478 nt
Filed under: uncultured bacterium
Lineage: Bacteria
Description: partial 16S ribosomal RNA
Rfam family: Bacterial small subunit ribosomal RNA
Source: RNAcentral